ACAGUGAACGCGAGCAUCUGUGGCCAAGUUUUUAAGGGCGCACGGUGGAUGCCUUGGCACCAGGAACCGAUGAAGGACGUGGGAGGCCACGAUAGUCCCCGGGGAGUCGUCAACCAGGCUUUGAUCCGGGGGUUUCCGAAUGGGGAAACCCGGCAGUCGUCAUGGGCUGUCACCCGCUGCUGAACACAUAGGCAGUGUGGAGGGAACGCGGGGAAGUGAAACAUCUCAGUACCCGCAGGAAGAGAAAACAACCGUGAUUCCGGGAGUAGUGGCGAGCGAAACCGGAUGAGGCUAAACCUAUGGCGUGUGAGACCCGGCAGGGGUUGCGUUGUGGGGGUUGUGGGAUCUCUCUUCUGUCGUCUGCCGGCGACAGGACGAGUCAGAAACCGUUGAUGUAGACGAAGGACAUGCGAAAGGUCCGGCGUAGAGGGUAAGACCCCCGUAGUCGAAACGUCAGCGGCUCGUUGGAGAGACACCCAAGUAGCACGGGGCCCGAGAAAUCCCGUGUGAAUCUGGCGGGACCACCCGCUAAGCCUAAAUAUUCCCUGGUGACCGAUAGCGGAUAGUACCGUGAGGGAAUGGUGAAAAGUACCCCGGGAGGGGAGUGAAAUAGUACCUGAAACCGUGUGCCUACAAGCCGUGGGAGCGUCGGAAUGUGCUUGCACAUUCUCGUGACUGCGUGCCUUUUGAAGAAUGAGCCUGCGAGUUUGCGGUGUGUUGCGAGGUUAACCCGGGUGGGGUAGCCGUAGCGAAAGCGAGUCCGAACAGGGCGUUUGAGUAGCAUGCCCAAGACCCGAAGCGGAGUGAUCUAGCCAUGGGCAGGUUGAAGCGGAGGUAAGACUUCGUGGAGGACCGAACCCACCAGGGUUGAAAACCUGGGGGAUGACCUGUGGUUAGGGGUGAAAGGCCAAUCAAACUCCGUGAUAGCUGGUUCUCCCCGAAAUGCAUUUAGGUGCAGCGUCGUGUGUUUCUUGCCGGAGGUAGAGCACUGGAUAGGCGAUGGGCCCUACCGGGUUACUGACCUUAGCCAAACUCCGAAUGCCGGUAAGUGAGAGCGCGGCAGUGAGACUGUGGGGGAUAAGCUCCAUGGUCGAGAGGGAAACAGCCCAGAGCAUCGACUAAGGCCCCUAAGCGUACGCUAAGUGGGAAAGGAUGUGGAGUCGCACAGACAACCAGGAGGUUGGCUUAGAAGCAGCCACCCUUGAAAGAGUGCGUAAUAGCUCACUGGUCUAGUGAUUCCGCGCCGACAAUGUAGCGGGGCUCAAGCGUACCGCCGAAGUCGUGUCAUUGCAGCAUAAGGGCCAACGCCUGCUGUGAUGGGUAGGGGAGCGUCGUCUGCCGGGUGAAGCAGCACCGGAAGGUAGUUGUGGACGGUUGACGAGUGAGAAUGCAGGCAUGAGUAGCGAUUCACACGUGGGAAACGUGUGCGCCGAUUGACUAAGGGUUCCUGGGUCAAGCUGAUCUGCCCAGGGUAAGUCGGGACCUAAGGCGAGGCCGACAGGCGUAGUCGAUGGAUAACCGGUUGAUAUUCCGGUACCCGCUGUGGAGCGUCAAACAUUGAAUCCAGUGAUGCUAAGGCCGUGAAGCCGUUCCGGACCCUUCGGGGAAAGGAAAGUGGUGGAGCCGCUGAACCAGGUUGGUAGUAGGUGAGUGAUGGGGUGACGCAGGAAGGUAGUCCAUCCCGGGCGGUGGUUGUCCCGGGGUAAGGGUGUAG
RNAcentral lists this ribosomal RNA (1714 nucleotides) under Streptomyces sp. SID2888. RNAcentral describes it as "partial 23S ribosomal RNA". It matches the Rfam family "Bacterial large subunit ribosomal RNA", at positions 1 to 1599 of the family's 2925-position model. The record is from RNAcentral. Lineage: Bacteria; Bacillati; Actinomycetota; Actinomycetes; Kitasatosporales; Streptomycetaceae.